RNAcentral lists this ribosomal RNA (253 nucleotides) under uncultured bacterium. RNAcentral describes it as "partial 16S ribosomal RNA". It matches the Rfam family "Bacterial small subunit ribosomal RNA", at positions 524 to 776 of the family's 1533-position model. The record is from RNAcentral.
UACGAAGGGGGCUAGCGUUGCUCGGAAUCACUGGGCGUAAAGGGUGCGUAGGCGGGUCUUUAAGUCAGGGGUGAAAUCCUGGAGCUCAACUCCAGAACUGCCUUUGAUACUGAAGAUCUUGAGUUCGGGAGAGGUGAGUGGAACUGCGAGUGUAGAGGUGAAAUUCGUAGAUAUUCGCAAGAACACCAGUGGCGAAGGCGGCUCACUGGUCCGGCACUGACGCUGAGGUGCGAAAGCGUGGGGAGCAAACAGG